GCCUCGGUGGCUCAGCUGGUAGAGCGGCAGCCUCGUAAGCUGCAAGCCGCGGGUUCGAAUCCCGCCCGAGGCUCCA
This 76-nucleotide transfer RNA is filed under the name Candidatus Bathyarchaeota archaeon. RNAcentral describes it as "tRNA-Thr". It matches the Rfam family "tRNA". Rfam says of the family: Transfer RNA (tRNA) molecules are approximately 80 nucleotides in length. Their secondary structure includes four short double-helical elements and three loops (D, anti-codon, and T loops). Further hydrogen bonds mediate the characteristic L-shaped molecular structure. tRNAs have two regions of fundamental functional importance: the anti-codon, which is responsible for specific mRNA codon recognition, and the 3' end, to which the tRNAs corresponding amino acid is attached (by aminoacyl-tRNA synthetases). tRNAs cope with the degeneracy of the genetic code in two manners: having more than one tRNA (with a specific anti-codon) for a particular amino acid; and 'wobble' base-pairing, i.e. permitting non-standard base-pairing at the 3rd anti-codon position. The record is from RNAcentral. Lineage: Archaea; Thermoproteati; Candidatus Bathyarchaeota.